GCCAACGCCAGAACGAAAGAGUCCAUUAGAGCGAUGGAACUGAAAGUCAGGGACCGCUCCGCCGAGUUUGCUGAGCGGCGCGCCACUGCGGGCGCAAGGUGUCACCGCUCUGAAUCUGCCGUACCAGAGCAGCCAACGGAACAGCUUUUUACAGCUCCGCUUUGGAGCAGACUCCCAUCUGACUUUGAGGAAAACGCACUUGCGCUCUCACAUCAAAUCGACCAGCUCCGUUCGAAUCACCGCCUCUUCCUGAAGCCGAAGCUCCGCAGCAAAGACGAGGAAGACCAGCUGCGAGCUUUAAUUGAUAAGCAGGCAGUCGAGAUUCAGGCCUUUCUCAAGAUGUUGGAGCAUACUAUUGUUCUCGGCACCCAGCUCAAAAGCACGUACUCUGAGGAAGAAGGACGCAUUGUCAAAAGCGUCCAGACGCACCUGACAGCUCGUUUCAAGGAGGUCGCUCUACAAUUCAAGUCUACCCAGGAACUAUUUGGAGCUGAGCUGCAACGGCGAGAGCAGAAGUCUAGCAAGUACAUGAAGAUUGGAAGCGAUGCUGCCUACGAGGCGGUUCAGCAAGAGGAACGAACUGUCCAAUUUCUCGAAAUGGGCUUCACAGAGCAGGACGCACAGUCUCUCCUGAUCGAAGAUAUGCAACGAGAUCAAACGAGCAAAGAGAUCAAGGAUAUCCUUGACAGCAUACAAGAGAUUCACCGCAUGUUCGAGGGUCUUCACACCCUGGUAGUCGAUCAGGGAACAAUGCUGGACAGGAUCGAUUACAAUGUAGACAAAGCAUUGGUGAGUGCAUCGAAAGCACAGAUCGAACUGGAAAAAGCUCGCGAGAAUCAGAGCAGCUGCAUCCUUAUGUAGCUUCGGCGCGUCUUGCUUUUGUCUACCCCUGCUCAGCAAACUGCACCACCAUUUUUUCACUCUCCGCGCUUUUCCUUCUCGCCGCAUAC
RNAcentral lists this unclassified non-coding RNA (950 nucleotides) under Leishmania donovani. RNAcentral describes it as "gene:LdHU3.33.2120(CDS-product:QA-SNARE_protein_p utative)". The record is from RNAcentral. Lineage: Eukaryota; Euglenozoa; Kinetoplastea; Trypanosomatida; Trypanosomatidae.